This 478-nucleotide ribosomal RNA is filed under the name uncultured bacterium. Its description in RNAcentral is "partial 16S ribosomal RNA". It matches the Rfam family "Bacterial small subunit ribosomal RNA", at positions 28 to 507 of the family's 1533-position model. The record is from RNAcentral.
GAUGAACGCUAGCGGCAGGCCUAACACAUGCAAGUCGAGGGAGAAGCCCUUUCGGGGGCCGAAACCGGCGCACGGGUGCGUAACGCGUAUGCAACCUACCUUUCACCGGGGGAUAGCCCGAAGAAAUUUGGAUUAAUACCCCAUAAUAUUAUUGGAUGGCAUCAUUUGAUAAUUAAAACUGCGGUGGUGAAAGAUGGGCAUGCGUCCUAUUAGCUAGUGGGAGUGGUAACGGCACCCCAAGGAUACGAUAGGUAGGGGUCCUGAGGGGGAGAUCCCCCACACUGGUACUGAGACAGGGACCAGACUGCUACGGGAGGGAGCAGUGAGGAAUACAGGUGAAUGGUCGGAAGACUGAACCAGCCAUGCCGGGUGCAGGAAGAAUGCGUUAUGGAUUGUAAACUGCUGUUAGAUGGCAAGAAUAAGGCGUACGUGUACGUUGAUGACGGUACCAGAUGAAUAAGCACCGGCUAACUCCGUG